AUGCCCAUGCAAUACUGGUCCAUCGAGGGGGCGCAGGAGGUGCUCGGCAACAAGGUGUGCGUCGACCGCCUCGACAGCCGCACUCUGGAGCGCGGCCACACCAAGACCUUCGCGUGCUGGGUCUGGGUGUGGGACAUGGCGUUCAUCCCGACAAGGCACACCUACGAGCUGCCCCGUGGCACGGGGCGCGUCGAGGAGAUGGACGGCUUUUCGCCGCCAGAUCGCCGGGUGGCUCUUCCUCCGGGCGCGACGCGGUUCGAUCUUCUCAUCCACGUCGACCGCAUUGAAGACUGG
RNAcentral lists this ribosomal RNA (294 nucleotides) under Triticum aestivum (bread wheat). RNAcentral describes it as "partial small subunit ribosomal RNA". Lineage: Eukaryota; Viridiplantae; Streptophyta; Magnoliopsida; Poales; Poaceae. The record is from RNAcentral.